This 301-nucleotide ribosomal RNA is filed under the name uncultured bacterium. Its description in RNAcentral is "partial 16S ribosomal RNA". It matches the Rfam family "Bacterial small subunit ribosomal RNA", at positions 509 to 807 of the family's 1533-position model. The record is from RNAcentral.
CAGUCGCCGCGGUAAUACGUAGGUGGCAAGCGUUGUCCGGAAUUAUUGGGCGUAAGGGGCUCGCAGGCGGUUUCUUAAGUCUGAUGUGAAAGCCCCCGGCUCAACCGGGGAGGGUCAUUGGAAACUGGGAAACUUGAGUGCAGAAGAGGAGAGUGGAAUUCCACGUGUAGCGGUGAAAUGCGUAGAGAUGUGGAGGAACACCAGUGGCGAAGGCGACUCUCUGGUCUGUAACUGACGCUGAGGAGCGAAAGCGUGGGGAGCGAACAGGAUUAGAUACCCCCGUAGUCCCUGUCUCUUAUAC